RNAcentral lists this ribosomal RNA (253 nucleotides) under uncultured bacterium. RNAcentral describes it as "partial 16S ribosomal RNA". It matches the Rfam family "Bacterial small subunit ribosomal RNA", at positions 524 to 776 of the family's 1533-position model. The record is from RNAcentral.
UACGUAGGGCGCGAGCGUUGUCCGGAAUUAUUGGGCGUAAAGAGCUCGUAGGCGGCCUGUCGCGUCGGUUGUGAAAGCCCGGGGCUCAACCCCGGGUCUGCAGUCGAUACGGGCAGGCUAGAGUUCGGUAGGGGAGACUGGAAUUCCUGGUGUAGCGGUGAAAUGCGCAGAUAUCAGGAGGAACACCGGUGGCGAAGGCGGGUCUCUGGGCCGAUACUGACGCUGAGGAGCGAAAGCGUGGGGAGCGAACAGG